Long non-coding RNA from Fukomys damarensis (Damara mole-rat), 5255 nucleotides. RefSeq lists it as uncharacterized. The transcript has 4 exons. Lineage: Eukaryota; Metazoa; Chordata; Mammalia; Rodentia; Bathyergidae. The record is from RefSeq and is a predicted model, not a curated record.
GCUCAGUAUGAAGGCUCAGGGUUCAAUCCCCCAAAUGACAAAAACAAACAAACCACAAAAAUGAACAAGUGAGGCAUGUCAGAGGGAUUUGGGGGCCAACUUCAAAGCUGCCAUUGGACAAACAUGGAUAGUUUAGGCAACAGAAUAAAUAAAACAGCAUUAAAUUUUAUCCCAAAGUAUAAAACAACUAUUCAUUAGUCCAAGAUUAAAUACAUAAGAGAGAUGAACUAAAUCUUUUCUAUGGAGGAAUUCCAAAUAACUGAUACAGAUCCACCUUACUUUCUGCGUGAGAUGUGCUGUGUUCCUUCUGAUGAAUGGAGAACAAGAAGAAUUAAGUGAGUCUACCAUGGAGAAAUGUGGCCUGCAUUUCUGUGGGCAGUGGUAACCAGUGAAAAAUCGUUCUGACAGUAUGAAAGAUUUGAUGUUUGUGGUUUUACUCACAGAUACCCCUAUUUCUAGUCUAAGUAUGGUAAAAAUACCAGACAAACCCACAAUGAACAUUGACCUGACCGAUGCUCUUCAGAAGGGCCAAGGAAGUCAAUAAAAACUGGAAGAAUCUGAGAAAUUAUCACAGACUACAGAAGGAGAGGAAGCAUGAUGACUAAAUGAGUACUGGGGAUGGAACUCAGGACUUUGCCCUUGAGGCAGGUGUGGUGCCACAGCUCAAGGUUAAUGUGAUGAUUGCUCCUGAUCACAUGAAACACAGCCUGGAACCGUGAUUCCGAUAGAACCCCAAGUGGCAUCUAGCCUUCUCUACUAGCUUCAUGAAAAAGAAUGCAUAAAAAGCAGAUGAAGCCAGGACCGGAUCUCGAAAGGCCUCACCGAAGAGGAAGAAUACUGACUGUUUCUAGCACCACUCAAUCUGCCUCUGGCCUCACACCAUCUUUUUCUUCCUCUCCGGGAGUCAGAUGCCGGUUUCCUGCCAGCUAAGAGAAGCCAUGGAAGUCCGAUUACACCUCAGCAACCUUUCUCCUGUUCUCCGGUUUCCGACUUUGCCUUCGUGUGCCUUUUCAUAAAUACUGGGGCCAUCAGUCCCUGAGGCUUUAGGAUUCCAGUCCUGGGGAUCCGUCUACUCUCACCCCUACAUCCCAACCUCCCUCAUUUUGGGACUCAGCUUUCUCAGGUUAGGUGAGAUCCCAGCUGACUGCUUCCUUUUUUGGGCUGGGGGGUACCGGGGAUCGAACUUGGGUCCUUUUCCUUGCAAGGCAGGAGGCAGAACCACUGAGCUAAAUCCCCAGAUGCAGCUGACUGCUUCCUAAGUGCUAACAUUUUAUUGGAGUCAUCUCUUUUCCCAUUGUCUUUGACCUUGAUGUGCUAUGUUUCUUUCUGUAAAAGCCCUAGCCUGUUAUUGUUGGGUAUUUUGAUAAGGGUAUCAGAAGAAAUGUGGAUGUUUAACCCGAUGUCUUUAGAUAGAAGUAUAAUGGAACACUGGAGACAAACUGUUCUCUUGGCCACACAGUUGAGUUAUUGUCAGGUCUCAGUUUUAACCUGAAAUCUGGAAUUGGCCCUGGCGAGGACUCAGUACUUCAAGGACUCAUUUUCCUGUGAUUGAGAGCUCAAAGAAAGCUGACUGAUGUGACAUUUCCAGUUAGAAUGAGUAAGGAAACCUUCCUGUGAGCAUGCUCUGGGUUGAGAUUUCUAAAUGCAGGAGUAAUUUUCUUCUUUUCUUUCACUGUUGGAUGAAAGAAAAUUAAUGAAAUAGAUAGAAAAAAGAGAAACAUUUCCUUUUUUCUGAUCAUGUCUAAGAUGGUCUGGGAAAAAUUACUCUUCUUUUAAGAGGUUUUCAAGUCCUCAAGGAUUCAAAUAUAAUAAAAUGAGUAUUAUUCAACCCUACGUCGGGAAGAGCCACACAGGUAUAAAGAAGUGAAACAGUAGCCUGUGCGACAUAAUAUUUGGCGAAAAUAGCCCUUGACCUUUGAGUUGGUAGAGACCGCAGAAGGCCUGGGGGACUGUGGACAACUGGGAAGGGAACGCCCUACUUAUUGUGGGUUCUUGCUAACGCACUUUAACCUAUUAGCACCUUGUGGAAAUUACUGUGCUAGAUGGUGCAAGGAAGGCUGGAGAUGUGGUCAUUAAGAGAAUUUUCCAGCAGUCAAGGAAUACAGAAAAUUAGGGGUUUAUUGUCACACUCCUGGAGAGCAGUGGGCGAGCCGCAGGAGCGGACUGCGCUUCAGGAUGGGAGUCUGGGGAUUCCAGAAGGGACUGAGGGCGUGGAAAAGGGCCUCAGCUCUCGUGAUAUCUCAGAAACACACUUCCCACGGCAUCUUGUUCCUUGUGAAUCUUCCAGGAACACUUGCAUUGCAACUGAAGUUGUACAUCAAAGUUGCAGAUUGACAAGGCCACUUAUUCUGUGCUCACGGGAGUCCCUUCAGCUUUAGAUAAGGUGCUCUAUACACAUUAACUCGUGGAGAGAAGAGCGAUCAAGCUCAGAGUGAAGGAUAGAUAGGUCUUCUAUUUAUUUCUUGUGCUGUUUCUAGUCAUUGUUGAUGCAGGGCCUCAGGACCACUCAGUACAUGCUGGGCAGGAUUGUGUCAGCAGAGACGUGGUGUCGCUGUUUUGUCACCACAGAAAGGAGCAAUCCAAAUUUCUGAGAGAAACAAGAAAUACACAUUUUAACAUGAAAUUAUAGAAUGAGAUAAUGAAAUAUUAAGAUAUUCGCACAAAAUAACUCAAUUAACAAUUUUUAAAUAUUGACAAGUAGUUACAAAAUGUUUCAGUGCUGUACAAGCAUGGAAUGGUGCAACGUCCAACUUACAACACAUCCCAUCAGCUUCCCUAUGCCCUACCAUCAUAUUUCAAGGCCAUACGAAGCCAUUCAUAAUUGUCACUGCAGUUGUAGCUCCAGAGGCUAACAUUCAUCUCUGGGGAAUAUUACACUUACUAAGAUCAGAAAGAGCAGAUUUAGAAAAAUAGGGCUAGAAAUCACGUUUUCUUUCUCAUAGAGUGACACUAUUUUCUCAUAUAGAAUCGACUCGGGGCCAGGGAUUUAGCUCAGUGGUGCUGACAUCUGCCUUGCAAGUGCAAAGUCCUGAGUUUGAUCCCCAUACCAAAAAACAAAGAAAUAAACAAACAGCGCAAUCAACUAGAAUCAACUCAGUUUCUCAAAGCCAACUGGCUUUCUCAGGACCUUCUGGUCAGAGUAGAUUCUAUAAGACUACAUAGGCAUAUAAAGGAAAGACGAAGCUGAUCCAUUUGAACGAAAAGUAAUUCUCUACUCUCGACUCUUGGCUGUAUUCCUCCUUGUGGUAUAUGGCUGCUCACAGGUUCCGGAAAAGUGGCCAUGAAUCACAGACUUACAUUAUUCUCAUAGCCUGCCAAAAAGGAAGAGAAAACCUCUUUUCUUCUCUGGCAGUGAAGUCCCAAGAACUCUUUCACCAUCUUGGAUCACAUACUCAUCCCGCAUCCCUGAACCAGUCACUGUGGUGAGGAGAGGAAGUGCUCUGCUUGGCUGAGCUCUCUGAGGUCAGACAGAGAUGUUGAGGUUGUCUUUGGUUGUACCAUAAAGACAGGAAAGGGGCAUUCCCUCAAGAAAGGGUUGAUGAAUGAUUAACACCUGUCUACUAGAGAGACAAGUGUUUUCAGAGCUUGAAAAAACCUUCUAAAUCCUUGUGGCUUAAGCAUUUUUGUCUAGACCUGCUGAAUAGUGAAUAGUAAGGCAAUAGAAACAUGGAAAAUCAACUGUCAAGAAGCGUGCCCUACAUUUAGACAAGCUGAGCUGAAAUUGCAAUAUGACGUCUAAGACUCUAGAAAUUGAUAUUUUAUAAAUCUAGCAAGCAUCAAGAAGAGCCUGUCCUUUACGUAGUUCAUUCUCUCCUGUUCGAAAUAGAUUUAGAAUCUCGACUAUAAUGAUGCGACAAAAGAUGGUGUGUUCCGAAAGAGGGAGAAGACAGGAAGCUUUAAUUUCAGAUGAGCUGAAUUAAUCUUCAUGAACCUGACAAGUUCUUAGAAAAUAAAAAAAAACUCAGCUGAGUUCAGUAAAAAGUCACCUUGUCUGAUGACUGGAGACAGCAGGUAGAGUCCAGCCAACGAAUAAGGCAACUUGUGUAUCUUGUAGCCUUUUCAGAGCCUGAGGAGAACCCAGAUGGUUCACAGAGAAUGCAGAAACACCCCAGCAUAGCCAGGCCUUACGCCUUGUGAGAGGAAGCAAGGCAAACCAAAACACCCAAUCCCUUGAAAUAUCAGUUUCCCCAUCUGUAAAACUGAGAUGAUAGUUUUGUUGUGAAAAAAUUUUAAGAAUUACAUUAGUGCAUACUACAGGCAGAGUGUUUUCGUUCCUCCCUCCCCCAGUUCAUCUGUUGAAAUCUUAACCCCUGAUGUGAUGGUGCAGAGAGGUGAGGUCUCCAGGAAGUAGAUAAGUAACGAAGGUAGAGUCUUCACGAACGCAAUGAUGGCCCUUAUGAAGUGGGACCCUGGAGAGCUCCCUUCACGUCUGCUAGGUGAGAUUAUAGCUAAAAGACCCUUCAAGUCUAUAGUCCAGGAAGUGGGCGCCCACCAGACACCAGUGCUGCCUCCUUGACCUUGGGCUUUGCAGCUUCAGAUUGAGAAAUAAAUUUGUGUUGUUUGUAAGCGACUCGACCUAUGGCAUUUUAUCGUAUCAGCCCAGCUGGGCCAAGACCUAUCCUAAUGCUAGUACACUAAACUACCACAAUCUUAAUAACUCAGAACAACAUAGAUUUAUUAUCUACAGUUAUGGAGGUCAGAAGUCCAAGUGACCAUUAUGCAUUUCCAGACUCUCUAGGGAGAGAAUCCGUUCUCUUGCGUUCCAGUUUCUGUCUCCUUAGCUCACAGCCACAUCAGUGUGACUUCUGCUCUUGCAGUCGUGCCUUUUAUUUUUCUGACUCCGACCUUCCUGCCUCCCUUUUAUAGUGACCCCUGUGAUUACACCGGCCCACCCAGAUAAUCCAGACGAAUCUUUCUAUGCCAGGGUUCUUACAAACAUCUUCAAGGUUUCUGAAAUAUAAGGUAACACAUGCUCACAAGUGUCAGCAACUAGAACAUGAGCAUCGUUGGGAGCCCAAAACGCAGUCUACCACAGGAGUACGAGAAGAAAUAAUACCUGUGAAGGAUUUUAGAGUUGCGCUUGACAAUGCAGAUAAAGGAUCGAUGCCAAAUGCAGUUUGGAAAGUGUAAUUGUUAAGAUCUUGGACUAUGCAUUCUAACAUUAAAAUGUUCAGUAGGGCCAGAAUAUGUGAUCAUCUGUUCUUGUGCAUGUCAAGUUAAUUUUUUACAUUUAUUUAUUAUUUAUUUUUAAAGAG